This 839-nucleotide ribosomal RNA is filed under the name Psychrobacter maritimus. RNAcentral describes it as "bacterial SSU rRNA". It matches the Rfam family "Bacterial small subunit ribosomal RNA", at positions 372 to 1204 of the family's 1533-position model. Lineage: Bacteria; Pseudomonadati; Pseudomonadota; Gammaproteobacteria; Moraxellales; Moraxellaceae. The record is from RNAcentral.
UGGGGGCACCCUGAUCCAGCCAUGCCGCGUGUGUGAAGAAGGCCUUUUGGUUGUAAAGCACUUUAAGCAGUGAAGAAGACUCCAUGGUUAAUACCCAUGGACGAUGACAUUAGCUGCAGAAUAAGCACCGGCUAACUCUGUGCCAGCAGCCGCGGUAAUACAGAGGGUGCAAGCGUUAAUCGGAAUUACUGGGCGUAAAGCGAGCGUAGGUGGCUUGAUAAGUCAGAUGUGAAAUCCCCGGGCUUAACCUGGGAACUGCAUCUGAUACUGUUAGGCUAGAAUAGGUGAGAGGAAGGUAGAAUUCCAGGUGUAGCGGUGAAAUGCGUAGAGAUCUGGAGGAAUACCGAUGGCGAAGGCAGCCUUCUGGCAUCAUAUUGACACUGAGGUUCGAAAGCGUGGGUAGCAAACAGGAUUAGAUACCCUGGUAGUCCACGCCGUAAACGAUGUCUACUAGUCGUUGGGUCCCUUGAGGACUUAGUGACGCAGCUAACGCAAUAAGUAGACCGCCUGGGGAGUACGGCCGCAAGGUUAAAACUCAAAUGAAUUGACGGGGGCCCGCACAAGCGGUGGAGCAUGUGGUUUAAUUCGAUGCAACGCGAAGAACCUUACCUGGUCUUGACAUAUCUAGAAUCCUGCAGAGAUGCGGGAGUGCCUUCGGGAAUUAGAAUACAGGUGCUGCAUGGCUGUCGUCAGCUCGUGUCGUGAGAUGUUGGGUUAAGUCCCGCAACGAGCGCAACCCUUGUCCUUAGUUACCAGCGGGUUAAGCCGGGAACUCUAAGGAUACUGCCAGUGACAAACUGGAGGAAGGCGGGGACGACGUCAAGUCAUCAUGGCCCUUA